Molecule: long non-coding RNA, 381 nt
Filed under: Elaeis guineensis (African oil palm)
Lineage: Eukaryota; Viridiplantae; Streptophyta; Magnoliopsida; Arecales; Arecaceae
Description: long non-coding RNA (EGUI_LNC027216)
Source: RNAcentral
UCAGAGAAGAGACUAGGCAACAGUAGAAAAGAAUCAGGGAGACUCAGCGGGAGAGAGAGAAAGAGAGUCCAGAGGCUUCGAAAGAACCUCCCCGCAGCACUGUUGCCUGCCCCAUUUUAUAGUAGAGCGCGGCGUGGUGCCGCCAUUAAUGGCACAAACAACUGGGGGAGUUGUCAAAUCGUCGGAGGCUGUCAGAGUCGCCGCAGACUGUCAAGUCACCGUGAGCUGUCAAAUCGCUGGGAUUAAUCUAUUUCCUUGGCAGGACAAUGCCCAAGGGCGGCUAUGCCGCACGCCCUUGUCAGGACAGCGGUCCACAGCAGUCGUACGGCGUUUGGGGGAGCCGACCGAUCAUACGUCGGCAUUUGGUUGCGGGACGUCGGG